Molecule: ribosomal RNA, 163 nt
Filed under: uncultured bacterium
Lineage: Bacteria
Description: partial 16S rRNA
Rfam family: Bacterial small subunit ribosomal RNA
Source: RNAcentral
UGGGGAAUAUUGCACAAUGGGCGCAAGCCUGAUGCAGCCAUGCCGCGUGUAUGAAGAAGGCCUUGGGUUGUAAAGUACUUUCAGCGGGGAGGAAGGCGAUAAGGUUAAUAACCUUGUCGAUUGACGUUACCCGCAGAAGAAGCACCGGCUAACUCCGUGCCAG